Molecule: non-coding RNA, 125 nt
Organism: Triticum aestivum (bread wheat)
Lineage: Eukaryota; Viridiplantae; Streptophyta; Magnoliopsida; Poales; Poaceae
Source: Rfam
AUAACACUUCCUUUGUCCGGAAAUACUUGUCGGAGGAAUGGAUGUACCUAGAUGUAUUUUAGUUCUAGAUACAUCAAUUUUUAUCCAUUUCUCCAACAAGCAUUUCCGGACGGAGGGAGUAUUUA